GACAGCUUCAUAAUACCCCUUCAUAUAUGUCCGAUAAUAUGGGUCGGAUGUUUCUACCGGAUCACCAUAAAUGGUCUGACUAUGGAGGCGGUCUUUUUAAUU
This 102-nucleotide non-coding RNA is filed under the name Jeotgalibacillus malaysiensis. RNAcentral's name for it is "Guanine sequence". It matches the Rfam family "Purine riboswitch aptamer". Rfam says of the family: Riboswitches are metabolite binding domains within certain messenger RNAs that serve as precision sensors for their corresponding targets. The record is from RNAcentral. Lineage: Bacteria; Bacillati; Bacillota; Bacilli; Caryophanales; Caryophanaceae.